This 301-nucleotide ribosomal RNA is filed under the name uncultured bacterium. RNAcentral's name for it is "partial 16S ribosomal RNA". It matches the Rfam family "Bacterial small subunit ribosomal RNA", at positions 509 to 810 of the family's 1533-position model. The record is from RNAcentral.
CAGCAGCCGCGGUAAUACGUAGGUGGCAAGCGUUGUCCGGAAUUAUUGGGCGUAAAGCGCGCGCAGGCGGAUAGGUCAGUCUGUCUUAAAAGUCCGGGGCUUAACCCCGUGAUGGGAUGGAAACUGCCAAUCUAGAGUAUCGGAGAGGAAAGUGGAAUUCCUAGUGUAGCGGUGAAAUGCGUGGAUAUUAGGAAGAACACCAGUGGCGAAGGCGACUUUCUGGACGAAAACUGACGCUGAGGCGCGAAAGCCAGGGGAGCGAACGGGAUUAGAUACCCGGUAGUCCCUGUCUCUUAUACAC